UGGAGACAGGGUCUUCCCUUCGGGGACAGGAUGACAGGUGGUGCAUGGUUGUCGUCAGCUCGUGUCGUGAGAUGUUGGGUUAAGUCCCGCAACGAGCGCAACCCUUGGUUCUAGUUGCCAGCAUUCAGUUGGGCACUCUAGAGCGACUGCCGGCGACAAGUCGGAGGAAGGUGGGGAUGACGUCAAAUCAUCAUGCCCCUUAUGACCUGGGCUACACACGUGCUACAAUGGAUGGUACAAAGGGCAGCGAAGCGGCGACGCAUGAGCGAAUCCCAGAAAACCAUUCUCAGUUCGGAUUGCAGGCUGCAACUCGCCUGCAUGAAGCCGGAAUCGCUAGUAAUCGCGGA
This 347-nucleotide ribosomal RNA is filed under the name Bacillus sp. I3. RNAcentral describes it as "bacterial SSU rRNA". It matches the Rfam family "Bacterial small subunit ribosomal RNA", at positions 1001 to 1348 of the family's 1533-position model. Lineage: Bacteria; Bacillati; Bacillota; Bacilli; Caryophanales; Bacillaceae. The record is from RNAcentral.